CAGCAAGUUGGAGGCUGUGAUCCAGGGGCGGUAGCGUG
Gallaecimonas xiamenensis 3-C-1 is the source of this 38-nucleotide regulatory RNA element. It matches the Rfam family "JUMPstart RNA". Lineage: Bacteria; Pseudomonadati; Pseudomonadota; Gammaproteobacteria; Enterobacterales; Gallaecimonadaceae. The record is from Rfam.